Molecule: ribosomal RNA, 463 nt
Filed under: uncultured bacterium
Lineage: Bacteria
Description: bacterial SSU rRNA
Rfam family: Bacterial small subunit ribosomal RNA
Source: RNAcentral
GCUGGCGGCGUGGCUAACACAUGCAAGUCGCACGAGAAAGUGGAGCAAUCCGUGAGUAAAGUGGCGUACGGGUGAGUAACACGUGACUAACCUACCCUCGAGUGGGGAAUAACUUCGGGAAACCGAGGCUAAUACCGCAUAACAUCUUUUGGUUGAGUUACCGAUUGAUCAAACCAGUAAUGGGCUUGAGGAGGGGGUCGCGGCUGAUUAGCUAGUUGGUGGGGUAACGGCCCACCAAGGCGAUGAUCAGUAGCCGGCCUGAGAGGGCGCACGGCCACACUGGAACUGAAACACGGUCCAGACUCCUACGGGAGGCAGCAGUGGGGAAUUUUGCGCAAUGGGGGAAACCCUGACGCAGCAACGCCGCGUGGAGGAUGAAGUCCCUUGGGACGUAAACUCCUUUCGAUCGGGACGAUUAUGACGGUACCGGAAGAAGAAGCCCCGGCUAACUUCGUGCCAGCAG